UACGGGGGGGGCAAGCGUUGUUCGGAAUUACUGGGCGUAAAGGGCUCGUAGGCGGCCAACUAAGUCAGACGUGAAAUCCCUCGGCUUAACCGGGGAACUGCGUCUGAUACUGGCUGGCUUGAGUUUGGGAGAGGGAUGCGGAAUUCCAGGUGUAGCGGUGAAAUGCGUAGAUAUCUGGAGGAACACCGGUGGCGAAGGCGGCAUCCUGGACCAACACUGACGCUGAGGAGCGAAAGCCAGGGGAGCAAACGGG
This 253-nucleotide ribosomal RNA is filed under the name uncultured bacterium. RNAcentral describes it as "partial 16S ribosomal RNA". It matches the Rfam family "Bacterial small subunit ribosomal RNA", at positions 524 to 776 of the family's 1533-position model. The record is from RNAcentral.